This 468-nucleotide ribosomal RNA is filed under the name uncultured bacterium. Its description in RNAcentral is "partial 16S ribosomal RNA". It matches the Rfam family "Bacterial small subunit ribosomal RNA", at positions 28 to 507 of the family's 1533-position model. The record is from RNAcentral.
GACGAACGCUGGCGGCGUGCUUAACACAUGCAAGUCGAACGGAAAGGCCCUGCUCUUGCGGGGUGCUCGAGUGGCGAACAGGUGAGUAACACGUGAGUAACCUGCCCCUGACUUUGGGAUAACUUCAGGAAACUGGGGCUAAUACCGGAUAGGAGAUCCUGCUGCAUGGUGGGGGUUGGAAAGUUUCGGCGGUUCGGGAUGGUCUCGAGGCUUAUCAGCUUGUUGGUGGGGUAGGGGAUUUCCAAGCCUUUGACGGGUAGCCGGCCUGAGAGGUUGACCGGCCACAUAGGUACUGCGAGACGGACCAGAAGCGUACGGGAGGCAGUAGUGGGGAAUUUGACACAACGGGCGGAAGUCUGAUGCAGCAACGCCGCGUGCGUGAUGACGGCCUUCGGGUUGUAAACCGCUUUGGCCGGUGACGAAGCGGGAGUGACGGUAAUGGGUAAAGAAGCACCGGCUAACUACGUG